RNAcentral lists this ribosomal RNA (594 nucleotides) under Allantonectria miltina. Its description in RNAcentral is "eukaryotic LSU rRNA". The stretch from base 158 to 311 matches the Rfam family "5.8S ribosomal RNA". Lineage: Eukaryota; Fungi; Ascomycota; Sordariomycetes; Hypocreales; Nectriaceae. The record is from RNAcentral.
AUUACCGAGUUUACAACUCCCAAACCCCUGUGAACAUACCUCUUGUUGCUUCGGCGGGACCGCCCCGGGCCCCGUGCCCGGAACCAGGCGCCCGCCGGAGGCCCCUAACUCUUGUUUUCUUAUGGAAUCUUCUGAGUCAAACAAACAAAUGAAUCAAAACUUUCAACAACGGAUCUCUUGGUUCUGGCAUCGAUGAAGAACGCAGCGAAAUGCGAUAAGUAAUGUGAAUUGCAGAAUUCAGUGAAUCAUCGAAUCUUUGAACGCACAUUGCGCCCGCCAGUACUCUGGCGGGCAUGCCUGUUCGAGCGUCAUUUCAACCCUCAAGCCCCCGGGCUUGGUGUUGGGGACCGGCCGCCGCUCACCCGGUGGCCGCCCCCGAAUUCCAUUGGCGGUCUCGCUGUAGCCUCCCCUGCGUAGUAGCACACCUCGCAGUGGAACGCGGCGCGGCCACGCCGUAAAACCCCCAACUUCUGAAUGUUGACCUCGGAUCAGGUAGGAAUACCCGCUGAACUUAAGCAUAUCAAUAAGCGGAGGAAAAGAAACCAACAGGGAUUGCCCCAGUAACGGCGAGUGAAGCGGCAACAGCUCAAAUUU